RNAcentral lists this ribosomal RNA (468 nucleotides) under uncultured bacterium. Its description in RNAcentral is "partial 16S ribosomal RNA". It matches the Rfam family "Bacterial small subunit ribosomal RNA", at positions 28 to 507 of the family's 1533-position model. The record is from RNAcentral.
GAUGAACGCUGGCGGCGUGCUUAACACAUGCAAGUCGAACGGUGAAGGCGGAGCUUGCUCUGCUGGAUCAGUGGCGAACGGGUGAGUAACACGUGAGCAAUCUGCCCCUGACUCUGGGAUAAGCGCUGGAAACGGCGUCUAAUACUGGAUACGAGCUGCGAAGGCAUCUUCAGCAGCUGGAAAGAAUUUCGGUCAGGGAUGAGCUCGCGGCCUAUCAGCUUGUUGGUGAGGUAAUGGCUCACCAAGGCGUCGACGGGUAGCCGGCCUGCGAGGGUGACCGGCCACACUGGGACUGAGACACGGCCCAGACUCCUACGGGAGGCAGCAGUGGGGAAUAUUGCACAAUGGGCGAAAGCCUGAUGCAGCAACGCCGCGUGAGGGACGACGGCCUUCGGGUUGUAAACCUCUUUUAGCAGGGAAGAAGCGAAAGUGACGGUACCUGCAGAAAAAGCGCCGGCUAACUACGUG